RNAcentral lists this unclassified non-coding RNA (275 nucleotides) under Truncatoporia pyricola. RNAcentral's name for it is "Perenniporia pyricola partial internal transcribed spacer region". The stretch from base 1 to 46 matches the Rfam family "Eukaryotic small subunit ribosomal RNA", at positions 1786 to 1831 of the family's 1831-position model. Lineage: Eukaryota; Fungi; Basidiomycota; Agaricomycetes; Polyporales; Polyporaceae. The record is from RNAcentral.
AAGUCGUAACAAGGUUUCCGUAGGUGAACCUGCGGAAGGAUCAUUAUCGAGUUUUGACUGGGUUGUAGCUGGCCUUCCGAGGCAUGUGCACGCCCUGCUCAUCCACUCUACACCUGUGCACUUACUGUGGGUUUCAGAUGUUAUUAGCGGGGCCUUUACGGGUCUCGUGAAAGCGUCUGUGCCUGCGUUUAUUACAAACUCUUACAAGUAACAGAAUGUGUAUUGCGAUGUAACGCAUCUAUAUACAACUUUCAGCAACGGAUCUCUUGGCUCUC